AAUGCCCAUCAUGUGUUACUCCAAAAAAGACACCCAGCUCCCAACCCGGUCACCCGACCCCCGCUGGGCACCUUGCCUCCUGGCAGUUCCAUUCCCAAAAUCCCUCCGUAAACGGCACAGAACUUCCGCGUAAACCUCAAUAUAAGCCAUCUGUGUCACACCUAAGCCCCAGCAUGGAGAGUGCAGCAUUGCCCACAGGGUUUUCAGGACCUGGAGGUGUGUUCAGAACUCGUGGUUGGACCUGUCAAUGCCUGUCCCACAAACCCAAGCAGCAGGAGCCACCCCCUGGAGGGCCUUCACCCCCAGCCCAAGGGCCGUUUGCCAUGGACCUCAGGGAGCAGAGAGCGAUGAGUGGUGACCACCAGCCCCCUUCCCCAGGAAGGACCAGCCUGGACUCUAACUCUCCUCCCCAAAGGCCAAGGAGGGAGGCCUGCUGUGCACAAACAUCUGCUGGUGCUGAGGAUAUCAAAAGUCCUACCAGAAGAGCCUCGUUAAAGUAUAAACUUAAACUUUGUCCUCUGCAGGGCAGGUCAAAGUACCCAAUAACUAUCUGAGGUAUGUGCCAGAAGUGCCAUUAAACACCUCGUACACCCAGCCACUUAAUUUCUAAAUGUCCCCUGCCUUUUCAUGUUGCCUUUUUUAUUGUGCUUUAAACUUUCUUUUAUUUGUAGAGUGACAGCAUGAAAGCCAGGGUACCUCACCUGACCAAGUUUUAGUCAUGAGAUUGCAGUCCUAAUUAUUAGCAGGGAUCAAAAGAACAAAACAUCAUGACAUCUUACUUAAGUGUAUAUAAAAUCAGACUGUAUCAAACCUUUACAAAAUGCCCCCCCACCUUACUGUCCAGUAAUUAUCAUUUCUACAAAUGGGUAAAUGCAGAAGCUUUUUGUGAUUAAAGUGCCCUAAAUUAACUUCUGAAAUGAAGUAUGCAGCUGAAAGUUUAUUUUUAUUUUUAAAUGUUUCCUCUACAAAAAUACAUCCAAACAAUAUUUUUAAUUAAUAAAGUGAUAAAAAUUAUUUGAUUUCUUGAUUUAUAACACUAUUGACACAAACCAUUGAGUAUGUUUAUUAAGAAGAAAGGUAACAAAUAGUAAUUGUUGUUGGAAGGUAUUUGAAGCAGAAAAGCUCCUUCCUCAUUCUUUAGGCCUCAGGAAUCUUCCAUAUUGUGAGUUUUUCAUGGAGUUGUAUGCAGAGGACAGAUUUCUCUACUCUCCAGCUGACAGAUUGAUUUGAGACUGGUGCCAGCAGCAGACGUGGCCCUCAGUGGGACCAGAACUACCCCACUGCCACCAAGACAGAAGGGCGAUCUUGUAGGCAGUGAAAGGGCAAAGACUCAUUUUUAUUACACCCUUUAUGAUAAUUAUUAAAAGCCUCAAUUAAAUCUAUAUCCUACAGUAAAUCUGGGUAAUAAGCAACAGCAGUGUUUGAGAGAAUUCUUUCUCCCUCACUGCUUGUGCUGCAGUUUAACCUCAGCUGGGAGCUCAGCCCCCCAGAGCUGCUCCUCAAUCUCCCCAGAGGGAAUUGGAAAGUGAGAAAACUUUGGGGCUGAGGUCAAGACAGGGAAUAGGUUAAAGCAAAAGCAGCGCACACAAGCAAAGCAAAACAAGGAAUUAAUUCACCACUUCCCAUAGGCAGGCUGGUGGUCAGCCCUCCUCAGGAAAGUUGGGAUGACAGUGACUUGGGAAGACAAACACCAUCACUCUGAACAUCUCCCUCGUUGUCCUUCUUCCCUCAGCUCCACAUGCUGAGCAUGACACCCCGUGGUAUGGGAUAGCCCCUGGGUCAGCUGGAGUCAACCCCUGGACUCCUCAUGGUGUGAGAGGCAGAAGAGGCCUUGUCUCAACAAUAAUGGAACAUCCCUGUGCCAUCAACAGUUUCCAGCACAAAUCCAAACCACAGCCCCACUCCAGCUACUCUGAAGAAAAUGAACUCAAUCCCAGCCAAACCCAGCACACCUGAGAACUGGCUGCUGGAGACUAAGAGUGGCACAACCUCCACGGGUUGGCACAAGCAAAUUCCAAAGUGCAGUAGACAUUCCAGUGCGGUGCUGCAGUUAUGGCAAGAAGCUCACUGUGCUCAGGUCUGGUGGCAGUGACUACUUCUGGUUUGUUGCAAACAAUAAUUUGGAAAUAACACGAUGUUAGCAGUGCAGACUUCCAAAGGACAAAGAUAACAGGGUAUAACCUCUAAUUGCUAAAACCAGUCUCAUCAUUGCUAUCUCGUUAUCCAGUAAUGAAAAAGCUGUUCAGAUACUUUAGGUGUUAUCUAGAGCUAAGAGCACUUUUCUGUUUAAUUUCACCAUGUGGUCCACUGAUACUACUGAUAAGGACAAGCUUUAACUACAAAUAGUAUGUGGCUGCAGAAUGGUUUCAGUUGAUUGUCAUCAAGGUCUCUGCAAAAAAAAAGCACAGACUCACUACAUCACUACACUGAUGCCCACAAGUUUGCGGGGUAUGAAUUUGUGCUUUCCACUGAGGUAUCUCAGUGCUUGUCAAAUAAAUCUUUUAAGCUCUG
Molecule: non-coding RNA, 2511 nt
Organism: Cyanistes caeruleus (blue tit)
Lineage: Eukaryota; Metazoa; Chordata; Aves; Passeriformes; Paridae
Source: RefSeq, a predicted model, not a curated record